UACGUAGGGUGCAAGCGUUGUCCGGAAUUAUUGGGCGUAAAGAGCUCGUAGGCGGCUUGUCACGUCGGAUGUGAAAUCCCGAGGCUCAACCUCGGGCCUGCAUUCGAUACGGGCUAGCUAGAGUACUGCAGGGGAGACUGGAAUUCCUGGUGUAGCGGUGAAAUGCGCAGAUAUCAGGAGGAACACCAAUGGCGAAGGCAGCUCGCUGGAACGGUACUGACGCUGAGGCGCGAAAGCGUGGGGAGCGAACAGG
RNAcentral lists this ribosomal RNA (253 nucleotides) under uncultured bacterium. RNAcentral's name for it is "partial 16S ribosomal RNA". It matches the Rfam family "Bacterial small subunit ribosomal RNA", at positions 524 to 776 of the family's 1533-position model. The record is from RNAcentral.